RNAcentral lists this ribosomal RNA (481 nucleotides) under uncultured bacterium. Its description in RNAcentral is "partial 16S ribosomal RNA". It matches the Rfam family "Bacterial small subunit ribosomal RNA", at positions 28 to 523 of the family's 1533-position model. The record is from RNAcentral.
GACGAACGCUGGCGGCGUGCCUAACACAUGCAAGUCGAGCGAGUUGAUUCUCUUCGGAGAUGAAGCUAGCGGCGGACGGGGUGAGUAACACGUGGGCAACCUGCCUCAUAGAGGGGAAUAGCCUCCCGAAAGGGAGAUUAAUACCGCAUAAGAUUGUAGCUUCGCAUGAAGUAGCAAUUAAAGGAGCAAUCCGCUAUGAGAUGGGCCCGCGGCGCAUUAGCUAGUUGGUGAGGUAACGGCUCACCAAGGCGACGAUGCGUAGCCGACCUGAGAGGGUGAUCGGCCACAUUGGGACUGAGACACGGCCCAGACUCCUACGGGAGGCAGCAGUGGGGAAUAUUGCACAAUGGGGGAAACCCUGAUGCAGCAACGCCGCGUGAGUGAUGACGGCCUUCGGGUUGUAAAGCUCUGUCUUCGGGGACGAUAAUGACGGUACCUGAGGAGGAAGCCACGGCUAACUACGUGCCAGCCGCCGCCGUAA